Long non-coding RNA from Gallus gallus (chicken), 906 nucleotides. The record is from Ensembl. NCBI's taxonomy places the organism in Eukaryota, Metazoa, Chordata, Aves, Galliformes, Phasianidae.
CGGAGGUGCGCGGUGCCGCUGCUGCCCGGCUCAGCUCGGCUCGGAUUUUUCCCCAUUGGGAUUCCCUCUCCCCGAAGCUCUUCCGGAUUCUGCAGGGGCAGGUUUUGGAUGCUGGCAUGAUCUGAUCCUGCUCCAUCUGCUCCUGGCCACCCUACACCAGGAUGGACAAAUCCUAGAUUUAAAGUGACAGUGUCCAACAGCAGACCGAGGAAGCCAGGAACUCGUGGGAAAGUGCACUUGGAACCCCUUUGAACGUGUAGACGUGGUACUCAGGGACACGGUUUAAUGGGCAAUAUUGGUCUUAGGUGGGCAGUUGAACCUGAUGAUCCUAGAGGUGCUUCUAACCUUAAUGAUGAUAUGAUUCUGUUCUAUGAAGACUUUUUGGCAUUAAGGCAAUGAGAUCUGAUGCCACUGAUGUGGGGAGCCAACUCACAGAAGGGGCAUUGCUCACCAUGCCAUGUGCCCACAGGAAGCCCCAUAUUCCCCCUCUUUUACUGUCUCCUGCUGCUGCCAAGUGAGGCUGAAGGCUCUCCUUCUCCUCCCCAUGCACCUCAGGUCUCCAGGUCUAAUCCUCAGUGUAUCUUUACUACCUUUUCCUUGUGGUUUGUUUGCAUUGAGUUGGGUUGAGUUGGAUUGGGUUGGGUUAUGUUGUGUUGUGUUGGGUUGAGUUGAGUUGAACCAGCCUUAAAUUGGCUGUUAGCAAUCAAAAUAGUGUCACCCUUUGCCCCCACUGCUAUGUAAGGUGGGAGGGAAAGUUCCAAAGACACAAUGUGUGGUUUAAACCAAACUCAUCUUCUGGCCUCUGCAUCUCUCCUGGGCGUGUUUUCAAUUCUUCCUGCAAAAGUACAAAGACAAAAUUGCUUUUGGGUGGGGAAGGUCCUGCAGAGCCUCAUUUUGACAGUUGGA